RNAcentral lists this unclassified non-coding RNA (429 nucleotides) under soil metagenome. Its description in RNAcentral is "partial contains 5.8S ribosomal RNA, internal transcribed spacer 2, and large subunit ribosomal RNA". The stretch from base 3 to 119 matches the Rfam family "5.8S ribosomal RNA", at positions 38 to 154 of the family's 154-position model. The record is from RNAcentral.
GAGAAGAACGUAGCGAAAUGCGAUACGUAAUGUGAAUUGCAGAAUUCAGUGAAUCAUCGAAUCUUUGAACGCAUAUUGCGCUCUCUGGUAUUCCGGAGAGCAUGCUUGUUUGAGUAUCAGUAAACACCUCAACUCCCUUUUCUUUUUUGAAAUUGGAGCUGGACUUGAGUGAUCCCAACGCUUUCUUCCAAGAAAGUGGCGGGUUGCUUGAAAUGCAGGUGCAGCUGAACUUUUCUCUGAGCUAUAAGCAUAUCUAUUUAGUCUGCCUAAAAAACAGAUUAUUACCUUUGCUGCAGCUAACAUAAAGGAGACUAGUUCUUGUGCUGACUGAUGCAGGAUUCACAGAGACAGCUUCGGCUGACUUUGUAAACUCGAUCUCAAAUCAAGUAAGACUACCCGCUGAACUUAAGCAUAUCAAUAAGCGGAGGA